UGUGUAGGCGGUUGCUUAAGUUUGGUGUGAAAUCUCCCGGCUCAACUGGGAGGGUGCGCCGAAUACUGAGUGACUCGAGUGCGGGAGAGGAAAGUGGAAUUCCUGGUGUAGCGGUGAAAUGCGUAGAUAUCAGGAGGAACACCGGUGGUGUAGACGGCUUUCUGGACCGUAACUGACGCUGAGACACGAAAGCGUGGGUAGCAAACAGGAUUAGAUACCCUGGUAGUCCACGCCCUAAACGAUGCACAUUGGUGUGGGUCAUUCAGUUGAUCCGUGCCGGAGCUAACGCGUUAAAUGUGCCGCCUGGGGAGUACAGUCGCGAAGGCUGAA
This 330-nucleotide ribosomal RNA is filed under the name uncultured bacterium. Its description in RNAcentral is "bacterial SSU rRNA". It matches the Rfam family "Bacterial small subunit ribosomal RNA", at positions 568 to 898 of the family's 1533-position model. The record is from RNAcentral.